Long non-coding RNA from Nyctereutes procyonoides (raccoon dog), 381 nucleotides. RefSeq lists it as uncharacterized. Lineage: Eukaryota; Metazoa; Chordata; Mammalia; Carnivora; Canidae. The record is from RefSeq and is a predicted model, not a curated record. The transcript is spliced from 3 exons.
CUCAGCCAGUGUAGUCGGAGUGGAGUCGGCCACAGCAGGAUCAAGACUGGGGAGAGCUUGGCUGGCAUGGCUGCCCCAAGGCCAAGGAAAGGGCCCACAUGGUCAGGAGACUGAUUCCACAGAUGGGGCUUGAACAGGGUGCUUACCACUAUCAACGUAUUACACAUGCAUUUGCCAAUUUUCUACCUUGUCCACGAGGCCGAGACCUUUCGUCUGCUUUUUGUCACCGUUAGAUUUGUGCCUGGCACAGACUAGGUAGUGAGUGACCUCUGGAGGCAAUUGGAAAAAGUACCUGCCACUUUCAGAACUGAAGAAGCGGGGAGAAUUAGAAAGUAGUAGAUCCUUCCAUUUAGCGGUUUUUGUUUUUUUGCAAGUUUAAUC